CCUACGGGAGGCAGCAGUGAGGAAUAUUGGUCAAUGGGCGGGAGCCUGAACCAGCCAAGUCGCGUGAGGGACGACGGUCCUAUGGAUUGUAAACCUCUUUUGUCGGGGAACAAAGGCGCCCACGGGUGGGCGGAUGAGUGUACCCGAAGAAAAAGCAUCGGCUAACUCCGUGCCAGCAGCCGCGGUAAUACGGAGGAUGCGAGCGUUAUCCGGAUUUAUUGGGUUAAAAGGGUGCGUAGGCGGACAGUCAAGUCAGCGGUAAAAAUGCGGUGCUAAACGCCGUACAGCCGUUGAAACUGGCCGUCUUGAGUGGGGGAGAGGUAAGCGGAAUGCGUGGUGUAGCGGUGAAAUGCGUAGAUAUUAGGCAGAACACCAGUGGCGAAGGCAGCUUACUGGAGUCUGACUGACGUUGAGGCACGAAAGCGUGGGUAGCGAACAGGAUUAGAUACCCUAGUAGUC
This 459-nucleotide ribosomal RNA is filed under the name uncultured bacterium. RNAcentral describes it as "partial 16S ribosomal RNA". It matches the Rfam family "Bacterial small subunit ribosomal RNA", at positions 338 to 795 of the family's 1533-position model. The record is from RNAcentral.